CAGAUGCCAGCUGCCAGUCUAAGGAGAAGGAUGCAAACAAGACAUAUUAAGUAAAAUAGUCCAACAUUCAACCUGGAUGAGCAAGCUGUAGAGGAAAAGGAAAUGAUUCUUAUGGAUCAGGAUAAAGGCUCACCAAAGAGACUGCAUGUGGGCAGCUCCCAGAAUAGGGAACGGCUCUUUGAAGGGCAUGAAAAUCUGCUCCAGAGCUGAGACCUGGAACUGACUCUCAAGUGCUGGGGGAAGCAUCUGAUGGUAGAUAAGGGCUUUGCAGGGUCUGACAUGCCCCAGCACCUCAGAAUGAAUAAGGGCAGGACCAGCCCAGAAGAAGCUUCUGCCUACAAACCCCUCCACAGGCUUUAGUUUUCAAGAAUCAGGAGAAACAGGAGCAGCUGUGCUGAAAAAGACCUAAACAAAAGCGCUGAGAUGAAGUCUUUUGUUCUUCCUCGAGGUA
Long non-coding RNA from Pogoniulus pusillus (Red-fronted tinkerbird), 451 nucleotides. RefSeq lists it as uncharacterized. The record is from RefSeq and is a predicted model, not a curated record. The transcript is spliced from 3 exons. Lineage: Eukaryota; Metazoa; Chordata; Aves; Piciformes; Lybiidae.